GAUGAACGCUGGCGGCGUGCCUAAUACAUGCAAGUCGAGCGAACAGAUGAGGAGCUUGCUCCUCUGACGUUAGCGGCGGACGGGUGAGUAACACGUGGAUAACCUACCUAUAAGACUGGGAUAACUUCGGGAAACCGGAGCUAAUACCGGAUAAUAUAUUGAACCGCAUGGUUCAAUAGUGAAAGACGGUUUUGCUGUCACUUAUAGAUGGAUCCGCGCCGCAUUAGCUAGUUGGUAAGGUAACGGCUUACCAAGGCAACGAUGCGUAGCCGACCUGAGAGGGUGAUCGGCCACACUGGAACUGAGACACGGUCCAGACUCCUACGGGAGGCAGCAGUAGGGAAUCUUCCGCAAUGGGCGAAAGCUUGACGGAGCAACGCCGCGUGAGUGAUGAAGGUCUUCGGAUCGUAAAACUCUGUUAUUAGGGAAGAACAAAUGUGUAAGUAACUAUGCACGGCUUGACGGUACCUAAUCAGAAAGCCACGGCUAACUACGUG
Molecule: ribosomal RNA, 497 nt
Filed under: uncultured bacterium
Lineage: Bacteria
Description: partial 16S ribosomal RNA
Rfam family: Bacterial small subunit ribosomal RNA
Source: RNAcentral